This is a long non-coding RNA of Peromyscus californicus insignis, 6065 nucleotides long. RefSeq lists it as uncharacterized. NCBI's taxonomy places the organism in Eukaryota, Metazoa, Chordata, Mammalia, Rodentia, Cricetidae. The transcript has 3 exons. The record is from RefSeq and is a predicted model, not a curated record.
CAUCAGGAGUACAGACUUCACAGUUCUGUCAUGUUGUUACUAACCUCAUAAACUUGGCAAUAGAUAAAUAAAUUCCUUCUCAACCCGCCCCACCCCCAAAAGCACAGGAGGCGCCCCGUUGUGGGGCGGCUGGGAGGCGACUUGCUCCUCCAUCCCUGACUUGGAUGCACACAGCUGAGGGACCCUUCCUGUUCCUCAUGCCGCUCCCUCCUGUUCGCUUCUCUCUUCUGCACAUCGUGCACAGCCCUGGCAGCUUCCAGUGGGAAAGGGAACUGGACUGACUGGAAGCUGAAGGUGUAUGGGUGUAUAUCUAGUAACUGGGGAUGCCCAGGUCCCAGCGGCUUAGGACGAUGCAUCUGGUAACAACAUGCCCAAGAUCUUACCACCCCCAUGUGUACCCUGUGCCUCCCGGACUCUCACUUUGAGAUAAGGGUGCUUUUGCUCUAUUCAAGUUCAACUCAUGUGGGUCUUCUUUCCACAGGAGUUUCCCUUCAUGGACCAGUUGCUAAGCUGAGGGCUGGCACAGACUCUUGGGCAUGGUGGGCAUGUUGCCUGCCUCCCCACCUUGAGCUUUCUGGCUAGCGCAGCAUCAGCCUCUACAAGAAGCAAUAAGGGGGUCUUGGAGCCCUAGCUCUACCCUUGUGUUGACAGUGAGCACUCCAACAUACAUGCGAUCUCAAAGCAUGCUGAUGGUUCUGACGCCAACGGACCUGCAGAGAACAGAAGACAGAGAAAAUGGUCCCUCUGCUGCUCCUCAUCUGGCUGCCGUCUGUUCUGUUCCAAUACUAGAGGGUCCAGAUAGGGUGGUCAGCCCAGAUGAGGAACCCCAUGAAGCUAGGCCAGGGCUCAAAGCACAGGAUCAAAGCCAGUUACAAGCGGGGGUAGAUAGGAACGCUUGGAUCCUGUCAAAUCUGGUGGUCUUCUCGGCAUGCAUCCUUUAAGGACAUGCCCUUUGGUGGGUGGGCUGGGCAUAGCCUGGUAAGUUUUCCAGCCAGAGUUCCUGGUGACAGCUGUGUGGAGGGUCAGAGCUGGGUAUCCCAGGCUGCUCUGGGACUUUGAGUAAGAACUGAGAUCCUUGGGGUGGCCUCCACGUAGUGUGGUGGGGCUCUUCCUCUGCGUGUUCUUGAAGGCCCCUUCGGCUUCAGAAGCUGGUGGCUCCUGUCUUCCCAUGGAGACUAGUCCCAGGCACACAUCUGGACAAUGACUAAACAGCAUGAUAAAGGUGUUUAAAAAAGGUAGGUGAGGCUGUGCUCAGCCUAGGACCACCUAGGCCUCUGUAUCCGUCACUGACCCAGCAUCAAUCAGAGAAGGAGUGAGCUAGGAUUCAGAGGUGACUAACGGGUCCAGGCCGAGAGAUGCUGGAAGCCACGGAGGAUACUGUGAGUCCGGCAUCCGACCACAUCUCAGCAAGCUUGGGCUAAAGAUGCAGUGGCCAGACCGUGGCCUCACGAUGGAAGAACAGAGCAGACUGUAAAAACAUCAGUUAGAUCGCAUGUAGGGAUCACAAAACACAAGGUGGAGACUAGCACAGGAACAUGUCGUCUGUGCUCUGGGAUGACCGGUUAGCUCGGGCUUGCCCAGCUUUGUGAUCCUAGCCCAGAAGUGGGGUGCUUUUGGGUGGCGAUCAGUGUUAAACCCAGUGGUUCUACAUUUACUCUGAGGCAAACCUUUAUUGGAGACCGGAGGCCUGGGUUUUGAUUGGCAGUGGCUUCCGGAAGUGGUUGGCGUUGUAAGGGUAUCGGGUAAGCUGACUUAAGAACAGGUAGAGACAGAGACUGAACACGAGAAUGUAGCGCCCUGGAAAGGUGACUUGGAAAUGAAUCUGUGUUGGAGGUGACAAAAAAGCCUUAAGCUAUCAGGAAGCCUCAGUCUCAGGGCAGUGACAUCUGGGCAGGGACCUUAGUGAAGUGGUGUCUGGGAGGGUGUUUUAGCCUCCGACUUCCUCCCUCCCUUAAAUCUGUGACCUCGUUCUCUCGAUUAGGCUUCCCCUCUGGCUCUGCAGUUUCCAGGGCAGGUGACCUUCCUUAAAAGGUCAGGGAUUUAUCUCCCUCUGAGCCUUGCUCGUCUGCAAAACCUGCACUAUGACAGAAGAGACCCUGGGAUGCCAAGUAGUUUCGUGAGCUGAAGGAAGUUGAGCUUUGCCAGCCAUGAAGCAUGGGCAGCUGUGUGCACUGGGCAGUGCAGAGGACAGUGUGAGCAUUACGAACGUCCAGCAUCUGUGUUUUCUUCCAGGAGUGGUUCUGGAUGUUUGCCCGCUACGUCCCCUGCAUCUGACGAUGGCAUGUGGUGUCGUGGGGCGGGAGACUCGGGUCUGAACACUUUGAGGAUGAAGUUCCCGGUACAGGAGAGGCUCAGGGUGUCGGGUUGGCUUGAAAUAGGUGAGAAAUGAGCGUGGAAGACUGAUACCAUCUGGGGAGGGCCAGAGAAUGGAAACGGGAACCAGUAGAUCCCAGAUUCUAAGUCUGAGACCCUGGAUCUAGCUUUUCCUGAAGCCAGAAUGGUCCUUAAAGUUCAUUUGUGAGAGUUAAAAUUCUCUUCCUUUGGCCAGCGUUAGUUAGAUUUAGCUUUAUGUCACUCAGAACCAAGAGUUCAGACUGAUGUAUUAGUUUUCUCCAGUUUACUGUCUUUUGUAGUGUGAUGGCUAACCUUGGCUGUCAGCUUGACCACACCUGGAAGGAGCUAAAACCCAAGCAGUGGUGAACCUGUGAGGGUUCUUAUCCAUCUAUUUUUAUUCUUAUUUUUAAAAUUGGAUGAUUUGAAGUGAAAAGACCUACCCUAAAUCUGGGUCAUUUGAGGUUUUAGAAGAACCACUGAAGUCUGGGCCACGCCUUUUUGUGGCAGCCCACAUAAAAGGACAUGGGGGAAGGAAGCUUUUGUUUUUUGCCUGCUUACCCCCACUCUGGCUGACGAGUUCCUCUACCCUGCUGCGGAGGCAUUCCUUCGCUGGUGCUAACGUCUUCAGGAUUCUGCUGUAGACCGAGGAGCAGCUGAGACAUCCAGCCUCACAGACUGAACGCCCACUGGAUUCUCCCAUCAGGAGACAGUCAUUGUCGGACUCGCCAGACUGCCGCAGCCUGUGACUUCAAUAACCCCCUUUAAUAGAUACAGAUUCAGUCUGUGAGUUCUGCUUCUUUGGAGAACCCUGACUAAGAAAGGAGAAUGUUAAUUUGUCCGGGCCCGAGGGCACUCUAACUGUGCCCGCUGUGGAACUAUCACAACCUUUGUGGGUCUUUGGGAGCCUUUGGGAACCUUCCCCUACACAAAGAUAUUACAAAUGACAUGUUGCUACUCUGCUGGUAGGAAGUGAAAUAUUAUCCAGGACAGACUGCCGUUUUUCCUUCACAUUUUGAAACCAAUCAGAACUCUUUCACGGGCCACCUGGGUGCUGUGUUUGGAUCCCGUGGCCUUUGCCAACCAAGGGUUGAGCCUGCCUUUACCCCCUGGAGAUCCUUCCUCCUGCAUGAAGUUAGAGAAGACAACCCCUAAGCGCUGUUUCGGCCCCUCUCUCCUCUCCCUGGCUUUUCCUAAAGAGUUGCAGGCCAAGGACCCCAGAACUCUGCCAGUACAGCCAGAGCACGAGCAGCGCAGACCAGGAGGGCUUUGCAGACAAGCCGAGAGAAGCGUACAGCCUAGGUAGGAAUGCAUAUCCCUAGGCCCUACCCUAGAUGGCAGGCAUCGGAGAUGAGAGGGCAGUCCUGUCUGAGCUCCUGUGUGCUCUCUGGGCUUCUACCCAAGGUCGCGAGCUUUUGGAGAAAGCUUCUCUAGGAAGGUCUCGGUGCCCUGCACCACCAGGCAUCUUGGGCUGGCCAGCUCCUACCCACGACCCUGAAAAUCGAAGGAACUCUGUUCCAGUGGCACCUUUAGGACCCUUAGCAAUACCAAGCCGUGUAGGUUUUGUGAGCAGUUUUGCUUUUUGCUUUUGCGUUUCUCACGGAGGUGGAAGCAAAGGUUGGUGGGUUUAAGACUCUGCAAUAGCCGAGCAAGCCAAGCAAGGUGAGGUCCUCAAGGUUCAGAGGCACCACGAUUUUCCUUAGCAUGGAGCUGCACGGAGCCCCAGUGGCCACUAGAUGGCGCUGCUGCACUUUCCUUCGGACGUUGCACAUCGACUCUGAGACCCGGUUUAAAAAAAUAACGUGCUGCUGUGAAUUGAGGCCUAUUUCACUAAGAUAGCCAGGAAAUGAUAUGCAGCCACGAGGCUUUGACCAGGGGAAACUGUGGGGUUGUAGCAGGAAAAGUCAUGUAGAAUGUUACGAAUCUCCCUUCUGCACUGCAGACUCCCCGAACUCCACUCCUCUCCGCUCCACUCCACCCUGGGCCUCUAGGGGUGGCAGAGUUCUUUCUACACUAGCUGAAGUCACUAGCUUCAGUUGGGUGGAGGAGCGCUCAUCAAGGUGGGGACAGGCUAUGUUCUUCUAAAGGCAACUUUCUGAUCUGCUCGGAUGCCGACUUCUUUGUGUGUCAGCGCAUUAAUCCAGCCGCGACGGAGUUGAUACUGGCAAGAGACCCCCUGCAAAGCCUCAAGAGAGAAAGAGCCCCAUUUGGGUUCCAGAAACCUGGGUCUGGGCACGUGAGGGCGUGGGGGAAGCAGGGUGGCAGGGUCCGGCUGGAACGAAGUGGGCUUAGGCUAGUUUAGUGUCAGAGCGCAGUGUGGCCACAGGGACUGCAGGAGACCUCGGUGACAAACCCACUUCCCCAGGUGGCAGUGACCUUAGAAGCCGUGGUAGUGAUCAGCAUAAAGGUAGCCACCCAAACUGCCUCAUUUCAUCCAACCUCCCAGCGGCUAAGAGGGCUGGGGUCACAGUGUCACAGAUGGGAAAUAGAGGCACGGGGCGGAGGAGGAAGGGGAACUCAGGCCUGAAACACAUCGAGGCAGGUUGGGGAUAGAAUUUCAAACCAGGCCUGAUUCCAGGGCCUCUCCCUGGAGCUCACUGCCCUCAAGGAUCUGGUAGUACAGGUUUCCGGGAGUCCUGGUGUCUCUAUGGGGGGAGGGGGCUUCUCUAGCUGGGGGCUUUCCUGAGAUUCACCUCUGUUCACUCCAUCAGGGCCACAAAGGGGGCCACAAGGCCCCAGGACAUGCUGUGCGUCUGGAAGCUCUACUGAAUGCCCCAUGGGCUCUGCAGGCCCUGGGGGAUGCCUGGGGGAAGCUGUACCAGUUGACAGAAGUACAACAUCGAUAUGAAAAGAAGGAGUUCUGCCCCCCACCCCCAUGCCUAGUCCCCCAGCUCCCUGAGAGACCGGGCUGGCAGAGGAAUCCUGAGAAUAAGGUUCCACCUCUCAGAGCACGCCCACCUUGUUGCAGGGUGGCAAGGACAGCUCCCCAUGGUGCAGGGGCAUCUAGACCCUCAGGAGGACGUGAGAAGUUUGGCAGAAGUGGUGAUGAGCUUCCCCUGGAUUCCAGGAUGGUCCCCACCCCUACCUGAUCUCACCGUGAUGCAAGAUAAACCUCUCCCGCCCCCCACUCUCCCCUACUCCCUCCAUGGAAAGUUCUCUGUCUCUGUCCAAAGACUGGAUUUGAAACAAACCUAAAAGCUUUGGAGUUAGUUACUUUAAAACUUGCAAGAGCUGAGAAGAUUCGGAUGCUACAUGAAGCUUCCACACACCCUUCACCCAGAUCGCAGAGACCCUUCCGAUCACAGAGACCCCGCCCGCCUCUGCCUCUGAAAUGCUGGGAUUAACGGUGUGUGCUGCACACUCAGCUGUGGGGUGUGUUUCUUUCACGGUCAUGUGUCACGGGGCGGGGCUCCUCAUCAGUUUCCACGAAUACAACCGGGUCAUUUCACUGUCUUGUUUUAAUUUGCCUACUUGGUCUAACAAUGCGUGCCCUUUAGAGCCCCCCCCCAACCCCCCCAGGGCAGGAGAGCUGCCACAUCUUGCUCCUUUAGUCUGGAAUGACCAAGGUGGGGAAGCAUGCCUUUGUCCCUUGUCGUCACACUGAUGUGUUUGCACAUAGGGUACUUCUGCCCGUCGCCCCUCUAAAAAUAGAACAAUCUUUAUUUUGAAAAAAAUGUUAAAAGGGGAGGGGCUGGUGAGAUGACUUGGCGGGGUAAAAGACACUUGAGGGCUGA